Prunus persica (peach) is the source of this 1109-nucleotide long non-coding RNA. RefSeq lists it as uncharacterized. The transcript is spliced from 3 exons. NCBI's taxonomy places the organism in Eukaryota, Viridiplantae, Streptophyta, Magnoliopsida, Rosales, Rosaceae. The record is from RefSeq and is a predicted model, not a curated record.
CUGAGAGAGAAAGUGAGAGACUCACUGGUUGAAAGCUAAAAUGGCGGUUCCAGCUCUCAAUUAGUCUGCGUAAAGUAAUCAAAUUGGAGAAAGAUAUUGAUGGUAUCGCUCUGUUCCUGUUGUGUUCGCUGCACAGUCCAAUUUCUUAAAAGUUGUACAAACAGUUUGGAAGGUUGGGAGAGAUGGAAUUGAGGCAGGAACCAAUCUUGUGCCGGAUUCUGUGCCGAGAUCAAUUGCAAGGGUUUCUGUGACAGUAGUUGCAUUGGCUCUUUCACUCUUUGUACUCAAGUUUUCUUUGUGCUGGUAUGUUUCUAUUUCUCUCCUCCUGCAAGAACAGUAGAUCGAUGAUGUUAUUUUGACUUGCUUUUUCCAAAAUGUAUAUCAAGUAUGCUUGUGCUAUCAUUUGUGUGUUAGUGUUUUAAAAUCAACUUCUUUUUCUGCGUUACUAGUUUCUAUAAGGAAAUGAGAUGCAAUGUAGACAAGUAACGAAAUCUCAAUGCCUGGAAGGGAAGGGAGGCGUCGGUCACUUCCUUAAUUACAAUUUCUUCAAAAGAUUGACAGUUUUCACUUUUCACUUUCUAAAUUAAUUAAUUUUUCUUAGAAUUUGCGUAAAUAUCACUUAAAUUUUUAGAUAUGUGUGCGAUUACCACUAGAAUUUUCAAUUUUUACCUCAAUUUUACAAAGUGUAGCAAUUUACCUCAUACGUGUAAUUCCGUUAAAAUUUCCAUUAAAUAAAGUCGCAUGUUGAACAUGUAAUAUUUUUUUUAAGUGAUUUUCAUCAAUUCAUUAUUUUAUUUUUUGCCAAAUCAAUUUAUUAUAAUUAAAAACUUACAUUUUUUUAAACUAACAUAAUUAAAAAAAAGAAACAAAAUUCAACCUAAUUAUCCCACAAGCUCCCCUUCCCCCUUCUCCUUCAUGACAGCCCCCUUCCUAACCAAAAGGCCACAGCCCACAACAAUCCAUCCCUCCUAUCCCACACUCGCCCUAAAACUCCUCUCUCUCUCUCUCUCUCUCUCUCUCUCUCUCUCUCUCUCUCUCUCUCUUCCCCCCACUGCACAAACAAUGAGCCAAGCUCUGCAAAUCAAUAACAAAUUCUGCCAUAACUAGGU